Molecule: long non-coding RNA, 382 nt
Organism: Bos taurus (domestic cattle)
Lineage: Eukaryota; Metazoa; Chordata; Mammalia; Artiodactyla; Bovidae
Source: Ensembl
CCCUCUCCUUGAUCCUGGGUUCAGCUGUUGCUGUUUAGGGAUCUUGAACUCAAUGAAGGCAGGAAAGGGUGAGGAGUUAUUCUGCUUUGGGGGGAAAAGGUCCGAGACCUGCCCCUUUCUCCUACUUUUCCCCUUGAUUCUGAGCCAAGGCAUAAUCGUUCCCUGAUCACUUCCCCAGAGGGAACAAGCAUCUGCCUCCAUCCUUGGGUCCUCUUCUUUCUCAUGAAGCAAAGCUUUCCUCUUCAAUCAGAAGAAACUCGAUCACACCUGUCUGGUUCCCCACAAGUUUCUGGAGGGAUGCCUGACACAUCAUAGCCCCUCAGAAAAUUAAUUCUCAGAUGAUGUUGCAGAUCUGAUAGAAUUCACAAGAGAAGGUGAGGCA